UUUGGUUGUUGUUUUUUUUUCUUUCCUUCCCCUUUUUUCCUUUCUGUCCCGACCAUAAAUUUUUCAUGGAAUUUACAGAGCACCAGCAAAUCUCCAGGGAAGCCGGUGGCACCGGGGACACUCCUGGAACUUUGCUGGGACUUGGAGAAUCCAAGGAUGUGCCCGCAGGGGACAGCAGCAUUCCCUGGGAAUGCCCAUGGAGCUGGGAAUGCAGAAUCCCCCUGGGAAUCCUCCUAGAACUGGGAAUGCAGUAUUCCCUGGGAAUUCCCAUGGAGCUGGAAAUGCAGAAUCCACCUGGGAAUCCUCCUGGAGCUGGGAAUGCAGCAUCCUCUGGGAAUGCCCAUGGAGCUGGUAAUGCAGAAUCCACCUGGGAAUCCUCCUGGAGCUGGGAAUGCAGCAUUCCUGGGAAUUCUCCUGAAGCUGGUAAUGCAGCAUUCCCUGGGAAUCCUCCUGGAGCUGGGAAUGCAGCAUCCCCUGGGAAUGCCCAUGGAGCUGGAAAUGCAGAAUCCCCCUUCCUCUCCAUGGGGACAUCCAGGAGGACCCAGCGUCCCACAGCCAGCCCAGCUUUGGGGACACACGGGGACAGAGCAGCUCCAGGCUGGGACGAGCCAGGCCCUGCCUGUCCCCAUCCCAAACAUCCCCAAAUCCCCAUUUGCCAGAUCCUCCUGGCCCGGGGAAAAGAANCCCACCAAAACCCCCUUUUCCCUGGAUUCCUGUCCCUGGCAGUGCCACUCCUGUCCCCAGGGCUGUCCCCUGACAUUCCAGGCUCUUGUCCCGUCUCCCACCCUGCUCAGGGGGUUGGAUUUGCCCUAAAUCCUCUCCUCUGUCCCCAACCCUCCCUCAUCAUCCUGAAAGCAGAGCAUCCCUGGUUUCUGCUGGCAUUGCCCAUCCAGGAUUUGGGAAUGCUGGGAGGAUCGGGAUGGGUUUGGGGGCACCUCUUGGGGAGCCCCAAGUGCAGCCCCGCUCUCACCCCUGGGGGAUUUAAUAUUGGGGUUUUUUUGGCUUUUCUGGGCAACAAUAAAAACUUUCAUUGGAGCAGAACCUCACUUGGCCAAGAGGAGCCUCGUUAAUUCCAGGGGAUUGUUUCAUCUCGG
Molecule: long non-coding RNA, 1094 nt
Filed under: Zonotrichia albicollis (white-throated sparrow)
Lineage: Eukaryota; Metazoa; Chordata; Aves; Passeriformes; Passerellidae
Description: lncRNA (ENSZALG00000001774.1)
Source: RNAcentral